CCCUUAGAUGUUCUGGGCCGCACGCGCGCUACACUGAUGCAUUCAACGAGCACCCGCUGGGCCGAGAGGUCCGGCUAAUCUUUGAACGUGCAUCGUGCUGGGGAUAGAUGAUUGCAAUUAUUCAUCUUCAACGAGGAAUUCCUAGUAAACGCAAGUCAUCAGCUUGCAUUGAUUACGUCCCUGCUCUUUGUACACACCGCCCGUCGCACCUACCGAUUGAAUGGUCCGGUGAAAUUCUCGGACGCGGACUUGCGAUGUUAAUUCGGAGCUUGACUGUGAAAGUUAAUUAAACCUUACCAUUUAGAGGAAGGUGAAGUCGUAACA
Molecule: ribosomal RNA, 324 nt
Filed under: uncultured eukaryote
Lineage: Eukaryota
Description: partial 18S ribosomal RNA
Rfam family: Eukaryotic small subunit ribosomal RNA
Source: RNAcentral